GAUGAACGCUGGCGGCGUGCCUAAUACAUGCAAGUCGAGCGAACGGACGAGAAGCUUGCUUUUCUGAUGUUAGCGGCGGACGGGUGAGUAACACGUGGAUAACCUACCUAUAAGACUGGGAUAACUUCGGGAAACCGGAGCUAAUACCGGAUAAUAUUUUGAACCGCAUGGUUCAAAAGUGAAAGACGGUCUUGCUGUCACUUAUAGAUGGAUCCGCGCUGCAUUAGCUAGUUGGUAAGGUAACGGCUUACCAAGGCAACGAUGCAUAGCCGACCUGAGAGGGUGAUCGGCCACACUGGAACUGAGACACGGUCCAGACUCCUACGGGAGGCAGCAGUAGGGAAUCUUCCGCAAUGGGCGAAAGCCUGACGGAGCAACGCCGCGUGAGUGAUGAAGGUCUUCGGAUCGUAAAACUCUGUUAUUAGGGAAGAACAUAUGUGUAAGUAACUGUGCACAUCUUGACGGUACCUAAUCAGAAAGCCACGGCUAACUACGUGCCAGCAGCCGCGGUAAUACGUAGGUGGCAAGCGUUAUCCGGAAUUAUUGGGCGUAAAGCGCGCGUAGGCGGUUUUUUAAGUCUGAUGUGAAAGCCCACGGCUCAACAGUGGAGGGUCAUUGGAAACUGGAAAACUUGAGUGCAGAAGAGGAAAGUGGAAUUCCAUGUGUAGCGGUGAAAUGCGCAGAGAUAUGGAGGAACACCAGUGGCGAAGGCGACUUUCUGGUCUGUAACUGACGCUGAUGUGCGAAAGCGUGGGGAUCAAACAGGAUUAGAUACCCUGGUAGUCCACGCCGUAAACGAUGAGUGCUAAGUGUUAGGGGGUUUCCGCCCCUUAGUGCUGCAGCUAACGCAUUAAGCACUCCGCCUGGGGAGUACGACCGCAAGGUUGAAACUCAAAGGAAUUGACGGGGACCCGCACAAGCGGUGGAGCAUGUGGUUUAAUUCGAAGCAACGCGAAGAACCUUACCAAAUCUUGACAUCCUUUGACAACUCUAGAGAUAGAGCCUUCCCCUUCGGGGGACAAAGUGACAGGUGGUGCAUGGUUGUCGUCAGCUCGUGUCGUGAGAUGUUGGGUCAAGUCCCGCAACGAGCGCAACCCUUAAGCUUAGUUGCCAUCAUUAAGUUGGGCACUCUAAGUUGACUGCCGGUGACAAACCGGAGGAAGGUGGGGAUGACGUCAAAUCAUCAUGCCCCUUAUGAUUUGGGCUACACACGUGCUACAAUGGACAAUACAAAGGGCAGCGAAACCGCGAGGUCAAGCAAAUCCCAUAAAGUUGUUCUCAGUUCGGAUUGUAGUCUGCAACUCGACUACAUGAAGCUGGAAUCGCUAGUAAUCGUAGAUCAGCAUGCUACGGUGAAUACGUUCCCGGGUCU
Molecule: ribosomal RNA, 1372 nt
Filed under: uncultured bacterium
Lineage: Bacteria
Description: bacterial SSU rRNA
Rfam family: Bacterial small subunit ribosomal RNA
Source: RNAcentral